UAUUUCCAUGUGAAUGUCCCAGAGAAGAACAAACCAGGGAAGAGAGGCGGGUGGAAAAGAGGAGAGAGGAACAUGAUUAUCUCACAACAGAGCAAUGUUAUGGUUUCCAUGAGGAUCCUGUUACAUUUCCAAAGAAGGCAAUUGGAUUAAUUUCUUGUAUGUUCUACAGGACCCAUAAAAGGUGUCCAAAGACCCGAAAGAUAUUGACAAACUGGAGAGAAUCCAGAAAAGAGCAACAGAGAUGAGUAGAUAAAUGUGAUUUAUGG
Long non-coding RNA from Mauremys mutica (yellowpond turtle), 266 nucleotides. RefSeq lists it as uncharacterized. The transcript has 3 exons. NCBI's taxonomy places the organism in Eukaryota, Metazoa, Chordata, Testudines, Geoemydidae. The record is from RefSeq and is a predicted model, not a curated record.